AUAUCUCUCCGUACGGGAAGGAUGAGAAGCUUCGACUAAGGUUCGAUUCGAGCGCAGCGAGAACGCGUUGCCGCAGGCAACGACCCGA
This 88-nucleotide small RNA is filed under the name Salmonella enterica. Its description in RNAcentral is "partial RtT sRNA". It matches the Rfam family "RtT RNA", at positions 1 to 87 of the family's 130-position model. From Rfam's summary of the family: This family represents a bacterial cis-regulatory element known as RtT RNA. The exact function of RtT is unknown although it is thought that it may be involved in changing the cellular response in relation to amino acid starvation. The record is from RNAcentral. Lineage: Bacteria; Pseudomonadati; Pseudomonadota; Gammaproteobacteria; Enterobacterales; Enterobacteriaceae. RNAcentral also lists the same sequence under 3 other names.